UCUUGGGUGUGAAAGAGAGGCCUCGCCAUAAGUAGGCAAGUGUGCCUACCGCAUCACAGCUGAGAUGGAGUCUACGGAGGAGUCAAGUGCCAUUUAAGGUUUAGAUCUCGAUAAUUGUUUCAAGAUGCGGAACUCGGCGAAUGAGGGUCAUCGACUUCGCAGGUGAAAGCUGGAUGCUUGAAGUAAAGACUGCUGCUAGCUGAACACUGGGAGCACAAAGGUGACAUAAGGAUGUCCUUGAUGAGGAAUUCAAAAACAUCAUAAGAAAUCUUGACAAGAGUUGCUUGGAUCAUUUAAAACUCCCAGGAGCCUGAGGGGCACUAAAAUUGGUGCUUUUGGACAGUAUAAAUAAAUAUACCUAAAACAGUAGGGCUACAAA
Neogale vison (American mink) is the source of this 379-nucleotide long non-coding RNA. RefSeq lists it as uncharacterized. Lineage: Eukaryota; Metazoa; Chordata; Mammalia; Carnivora; Mustelidae. The record is from RefSeq and is a predicted model, not a curated record. The transcript has 3 exons.